AGGACGAACGCUGGCGGCGUGCUUAACACAUGCAAGUCGAGCGGUAAGGCCUUUCGGGGUACACGAGCGGCGAACGGGUGAGUAACACGUGGGUGAUCUGCCCUGCACUCUGGGAUAAGCCUGGGAAACUGGGUCUAAUACCGGAUAUGACCUGCUCUCGCAUGGGGGUGGGUGGAAAGAUUUAUCGGUGCAGGAUGGGCCCGCGGCCUAUCAGCUUGUUGGUGGGGUAAUGGCCUACCAAGGCGACGACGGGUAGCCGACCUGAGAGGGUGACCGGCACACUGGGACUGAGACACGGCCCAGACUCCUAUGGGAGGCAGCAGUGGGAAUAUGCACAAUGGGCGAAAGCCUGAUGCAGCGACGCCGCGUGAGGAUGAAGGCCUUCGGGUUGUAAACCUCUUCAGCAGGACGAAGCGACAAGUGACGGUACCUGCAGAAGAAGCACCGCUAACUACGUGCCAGCGACGCCGAC
RNAcentral lists this ribosomal RNA (472 nucleotides) under uncultured soil bacterium. Its description in RNAcentral is "bacterial SSU rRNA". It matches the Rfam family "Bacterial small subunit ribosomal RNA", at positions 26 to 522 of the family's 1533-position model. The record is from RNAcentral.